GUGCUCGUUUCGGCAGCACAUACACUAAAAUUGGAACGAUACAGAGAAGAUUAGCAUGGCCCCUGCACAAGGAUGACAUGCAAAUUCGUGAAGCAUUCCAUAUUUUA
Monodon monoceros (narwhal) is the source of this 107-nucleotide small nuclear RNA. The record is from Ensembl. NCBI's taxonomy places the organism in Eukaryota, Metazoa, Chordata, Mammalia, Artiodactyla, Monodontidae.